GAGGGUGUUUCGGGCGCGGGGCGGGUCUAAGUGCCCUGGAACGGGACGUCGGAGAGGGUGAGAACCCCGUAUGCGACCGGCCCUCGAGCCCGUGUGAAACCCCUUCGACGAGUCGAGUUGUUUGGGAAUGCAGCUCCAAAUGGGUGGUAAAUUCCAUCUAAAGCUAAAUACGGGCCAGAGACCGAUAGCGCACAAGUAGAGUGAUCGAAAGAUGAAAAGCACUUUGGAAAGAGAGUGAAACAGUACGUGAAAUUGUUGAAAGGGAAGCGCUGGCGACCAGACCUGCGCCCGGGCGAUCAGCCGCGACUCGCUCGCGGUGCACUCGCCCGGGCCCAGGCCAGCAUCGGUUCGGGCGGCGGGACAAAGCGCCCGGGAACGUAGCUCCCUCCGGGGAGUCUUAUAGCCCGGGCGGCCAUGCCGCCCGCCCGGACCGAGGACCGCGCUCCGGCUAGGAUGCUGGCGUAAUGGUCGUCAGCGACCCGUCUUGAAACACGGACCAAGGAGUCUACCAUCCAUGCGAGUGUUUGGGUGUCAAACCCACGCGCGGAAUGAAAGUGAACGGAGGUGGGACCCCCCCGGGGCGCACCAUCGACCGAUCCAGAUGUCUUCGGAUGGAUUCGAGUAGGAGCAUGGCUGGUGGGACCCGAAAGAUGGUGAACUAUGCGUGAAUAGGGUGAAGCCAGAGGAAACUCUGGUGGAGGCUCGCAGCGGUUCUGACGUGCAAAUCGAUCGUCAAAUUUGCGCAUAGGGGCGAAAGACCAAUCGAACUAUCUAGUAGCUGGUUAC
RNAcentral lists this ribosomal RNA (786 nucleotides) under Erioderma leylandii. RNAcentral describes it as "LSU rRNA". It matches the Rfam family "Eukaryotic large subunit ribosomal RNA", at positions 151 to 958 of the family's 3401-position model. Lineage: Eukaryota; Fungi; Ascomycota; Lecanoromycetes; Peltigerales; Pannariaceae. The record is from RNAcentral.